UUGCUUCAGCAGCACAUAUACUAAAAUUGGAAGGACACACAGAAGAUUACCAUGGCCCCUGCACAAGGAUGACACUCAAAUUCAUAAAGCAUUCCAUAUUUUU
This is a small nuclear RNA of Callithrix jacchus (white-tufted-ear marmoset), 103 nucleotides long. Lineage: Eukaryota; Metazoa; Chordata; Mammalia; Primates; Cebidae. The record is from Ensembl.